UGAGGAACAUGACCUUCGGCGGGGGAUAGCCGGCCCAACGGCCGGGUAAUACCGCGUACGACCACAUGGGGACAUCCCUGAGUGGUGAAAGCAGCAAUGCGCCGAUGGAGUGCCUCGCGGCCUAUCAGCUAGUUGGUGAGGUAACGGCUCACCAAGGCGACGACGGGUAGCUGGUCUGAGAGGAUGGCCAGCCACAUUGGGACUGAGACACGGCCCAGACUNUACGGGAGG
This 231-nucleotide ribosomal RNA is filed under the name uncultured bacterium. RNAcentral describes it as "partial 16S ribosomal RNA". It matches the Rfam family "Bacterial small subunit ribosomal RNA", at positions 118 to 348 of the family's 1533-position model. The record is from RNAcentral.